This 429-nucleotide ribosomal RNA is filed under the name Acidobacteriota bacterium. RNAcentral describes it as "Acidobacteria bacterium partial 16S ribosomal RNA". It matches the Rfam family "Bacterial small subunit ribosomal RNA", at positions 355 to 776 of the family's 1533-position model. The record is from RNAcentral. Lineage: Bacteria; Pseudomonadati; Acidobacteriota.
UGGGGAAUUUUGGACAAUGGGGGAAACCCUGAUCCAGCCAUCCCGCGUGUGCGAUGAAGGCCUUCGGGUUGUAAAGCACUUUUGGCAGGAAAGAAACGUCAUGGGUUAAUACCCCGUGAAACUGACGGUACCUGCAGAAUAAGCACCGGCUAACUACGUGCCAGCAGCCGCGGUAAUACGUAGGGUGCAAGCGUUAAUCGGAAUUACUGGGCGUAAAGCGUGCGCAGGAGGUUCGGAAAGAAAGAUGUGAAAUCCCAGAGCUCAACUUUGGAACUGCAUUUUUAACUACCGGGCUAGAGUGUGUCAGAGGGAGGUGGAAUUCCGCGUGUAGCAGUGAAAUGCGUAUAUAUGCGGAGGAACACCGAUGGCGAAGGCAGCCUCCUGGGAUAACACUGACGCUCAUGCACGAAAGCGUGGGGAGCAAACAGG